RNAcentral lists this ribosomal RNA (1111 nucleotides) under uncultured Verrucomicrobiota bacterium. Its description in RNAcentral is "bacterial SSU rRNA". It matches the Rfam family "Bacterial small subunit ribosomal RNA", at positions 220 to 1317 of the family's 1533-position model. The record is from RNAcentral. Lineage: Bacteria; Pseudomonadati; Verrucomicrobiota.
UGGAGAGGGGCCCGCGUCCCAUCAGCUAGUUGGUAGGGUAACGGCUUACCAAGGCUUUACGGGUAGCUGGUCUGAUAGGAUGGUCAGCCACACUGGGACUGAGACACUGCCCAGACUCCUACGGGAGGCUGCAGUCGAGGAUCUUGGACAAUGCGCGAAAGCGUGAUCCAKCGACGCCGCGUGCAGGAUGAAGGCCUUCGGGUUGUAAACUGCUGUCAUGGGGGAACAAUGGGUGCCGUGCGAACAGCACGGCGCAGUGAUGGUACCCCAGGAGGAAGCCACGGCUAACUCUGUGCCAGCAGCCGCGGUAAUACAGAGGUGGCAAGCGUUGUUCGGAUUUACUGGGCGUAAAGCGUGCGUAGGUGGCUUCGUAUGUCGGUCGUGAAAUCCCGUCGCUCAACGGCGGAACUGCGUCCGAAACUGCGGGGCUUGAGUGCAGGAGGGGAGAGCGGAACUCUUGGUGUAGCGGUGAAAUGCGUUGAUAUCAAGAAGAACACCGGUGGCGAAGGCGGCUCUCUGGAAUGCAACUGACACUGAGGCACGAAAGCUGGGGGAGCAAACAGGAUUAGAUACCCUGGUAGUCCCAGCUGUAAACGGUGCGCACUUGGUGUAGGGGGUAUUGACCCCCCCUGUGCCGGAGCUAACGCGUUAAGUGCGCCGCCUGGGGAGUACGGCCGCAAGGCUAAAACUCAAAGAAAUUGACGGGGGCCCGCACAAGCGGAGGAGCAUGUGGCUCAAUUCGAUGCAACGCGAAGAACCUUACCAGGGCUUGACAUGUAGCUGCAGGCCCCGUGAAAACGGGGCGGCCUUCGAGGGUGCUACACAGGUGCUGCAUGGCUGUCGUCAGUUCGUGCCGUGAGGUGUUGGGUUAAGUCCCGCAACGAACGCAACCCCUGUGUUUAGUUGCCACCGCAGGUGAUGAAUCUGCGAGCACUCUAAACAGACUGCCCGUACAAGCGGGAGGAAGGUGGGGAUGACGUCAAGUCAGUAUGGCCCUUACGUCCUGGGCUGCACACGUGCUACAAUGGUCGGUACAGAGGGACGCGAGACCGCGAGGUGGAGCAAAUCCUUAAAACCGGCCCCAGUUCAGAUUGAAGUCUGCAACUGGACU